ACGGGUGAGUAACAUUUAGGAAUCUGCCUAGUAGUGGGGGAUAGCUCGGGGAAACUCGAAUUAAUACCGCAUACGACCUACGGGUGAAAGGGGGCGCAAGCUCUUGCUAUUAGAUGAGCCUAAAUCAGAUUAGCUAGUUGGUGGGGUAAAGGCCCACCAAGGCGACGAUCUGUAACUGGUCUGAGAGGAUGAUCAGUCACACCGGAACUGAGACACGGUCCGGACUCCUACGGGAGGCAGCAGUGGGGAAUAUUGGACAAUGGGGGCAACCCUGAUCCAGCCAUGCCGCGUGUGUGAAGAAGGCCUUUUGGUUGUAAAGCACUUUAAGCAGGGAGGAGAGGCUAAUGGUUAAUACCCAUUAGAUUAGACGUUACCUGCAGAAUAAGCACCGGCUAACUCUGUGCCAGCAGCCGCGGUAAUACAGAGGGUGCGAGCGUUAAUCGGAAUUACUGGGCGUAAAGCGAGUGUAGGUGGCUCAUUAAGUCACAUGUGAAAUCCCCGGGCUUAACCUGGGAACUGCAUGUGAUACUGGUGGUGCUAGAAUAUGUGAGAGGGAAGUAGAAUUCCAGGUGUAGCGGUGA
This 581-nucleotide ribosomal RNA is filed under the name uncultured bacterium. RNAcentral's name for it is "bacterial SSU rRNA". It matches the Rfam family "Bacterial small subunit ribosomal RNA", at positions 102 to 684 of the family's 1533-position model. The record is from RNAcentral.